CAGGCUCCUUCCUAUCUCAGCAGUAUCUUUUGAAUUGAGGAAAGGAUGAUUUGAUGGUUAUAUUGGCUUUAGGUCUUGCUGACGUGAACUCUUAGCACCUUAUUGUAUUUUAGACAAUAGCAUGCGAUUUCAUGUUGACCGGUGACUUGCACAGCACGAGCAGCACCAUUACAGAGACUGGGAAAUGUAGGAGAAGUAGCUGAGACGAGUCGCAUCUUCCAUUAGCUCUAUUUUUCUUCUUCUUAUUCUUUUGUUAUGUUCAAAUAAUUGUCAGGCAAAGGAGAUCUCUUAUGUUUCAGGGUUUUGUUUUGAAGAGAAUGUGAGCAGAUGAAUAAUUGGUAUUUUGGCUUCAGAUAAUAGUGAUUGCGUUUGCAUUGUGAUACUCUUGGACAUUUGACUUUUCAAUCUACCCUGAAGUAUGUCGGAUAAGGAUUUUCAUGUAAUAAUGGCUUGACAAUGCUAAUUGCAUUUGUGGAUGUCUCAGAACUGAUUAUACAUAGUGUUAUAGACUUGGCUAAAAACUUUGUAAAUUAUCGGUUUGGUUAGAGCAUAAUGACAUCCCCAGUUCCAACUUGCAACCAGACUUGCUCCUUCUUUAUUGUACUAAUUUUUGUGUUACUGAUGGAUAUAUAUAAUUAAAAUGGAAUAAUUAAUUCUACUUGAUAGGGAAUAUCAAUCCCACCAGGCAUUGCUCCCUGGCUAAGAAGGAUGUUGAAUGUGAAAGAUAGAUGGGGUUUAUGAGGAGUUCUGUUGUGGUAUUUCUGCAAUUAAUAACCAAAAUCACAUGUUCAAUUUGAAUUAUUCGGUGCACCUUGGAUUUCUUUUUUUUUUUUUUUUUUUCUUUUUUUUUUUUAAAAUUGAUAUGAAGAACUUUAAUGUUGUUUUUUUGGUUAUUGAUAUGGGUGAAAUCACUAUCAAUGAUUGCUUGUGUAUCUAAGUAAAAAAUCAUCGCUAUAAAAGUCAAUCCUAUUAAACUGCAUUGGUGUAAAAUGAUAACUGGAGAACUAGCAGUUCAAAAGCAAGAAACAACCAAAUCAGCUGCCCGAGGAUGGAUAAAAUGAUAUCAACUUUAAUACUCAAUUUUGACAUAAUCGUCUAUCACUUACAGUUACAGUAGUGAGUUGUCUUGUUAUCACUGGUGGAUUAGGGUUUAGGGUUUUGUUGUCUGUUUGUGAGGCAUGAUUUAGGAUUUUCAAUUUUUGCUAUGUGCUAAUGAUUGUUUAUAAGGUUUAGGUUUGGGAUAUCAGAGGUUUGUCUUGAGGAAUGCAAUGUUUAGCAGAAUAACUCUAGCAUAUUGAUUAUGACAUCAAACGGAAUUAAGGAGAUAGUCAAUAUUGAGAUGCAUCUUUUGACUCUGGUAAAUCUUCUAAUUUUCCAUUGUACAGGCUCCUUCCUAUCUCAGCAGUAUCUUUUGAAUUGAGGAAAGGAUGAUUUGAUGGUUAUAUUGGCUUUAGGUCUUGCUGACGUGAACUCUUAGCACCUUAUUGUAUUUUAGACAAUAGCAUGCGAUUUCAUGUUGACCGGUGACUUGCACAGCACGAGCAGCACCAUUACAGAGACUGGGAAAUGUAGGAGAAGUAGCUGAGACGAGUCGCAUCUUCCAUUAGCUCUAUUUUUCUUCUUCUUAUUCUUUUGUUAUGUUCAAAUAAUUGUCAGGCAAAGGAGAUCUCUUAUGUUUCAGGGUUUUGUUUUGAAGAGAAUGUGAGCAGAUGAAUAAUUGGUAUUUUGGCUUCAGAUAAUAGUGAUUGCGUUUGCAUUGUGAUACUCUUGGACAUUUGACUUUUCAAUCUACCCUGAAGUAUGUCGGAUAAGGAUUUUCAUGUAAUAAUGGCUUGACAAUGCUAAUUGCAUUUGUGGAUGUCUCAGAACUGAUUAUACAUAGUGUUAUAGACUUGGCUAAAAACUUUGUAAAUUAUCGGUUUGGUUAGAGCAUAAUGACAUCCCCAGUUCCAACUUGCAACCAGACUUGCUCCUUCUUUAUUGUACUAAUUUUUGUGUUACUG
RNAcentral lists this long non-coding RNA (2003 nucleotides) under Jatropha curcas. RNAcentral describes it as "long non-coding RNA (JCUR_LNC001410)". Lineage: Eukaryota; Viridiplantae; Streptophyta; Magnoliopsida; Malpighiales; Euphorbiaceae. The record is from RNAcentral.